Molecule: ribosomal RNA, 495 nt
Filed under: uncultured bacterium
Lineage: Bacteria
Description: partial 16S ribosomal RNA
Rfam family: Bacterial small subunit ribosomal RNA
Source: RNAcentral
GACGAACGCUGGCGGCGUGCCUAAUACAUGCAAGUAGAACGCUGAAGGAGGAGCUUGCUCUUCUGGAUGAGUUGCGAACGGGUGAGUAACGCGUAGGUAACCUGCCUGGUAGCGGGGGAUAACUAUUGGAAACGAUAGCUAAUACCGCAUAAGAGUAUAUGUUGCAUGACAUUUGCUUAAAAGGUGCAAUUGCAUCACUACCAGAUGGACCUGCGUUGUAUUAGCUAGUUGGUGGGGUAACGGCUCACCAAGGCGACGAUACCUAGCCGACCUGGGAGGGGGAGAGGCCACACUGGGACUGAGACACGGCCCAGAGUCCUACGGGAGGGAGCGGUAGGGAAUCUUCGGCGAUGGACGGAAGUCUGACCGGGCAACGCCGCGUGAGAGAAGAAGGGGUUCGGAUCGUAUAGCUCUGUUGUAAGAGAAGAACGAGUGUGAGAGUGGAAAGGUCACAAUGUGACGGUAUCUUACCAGAAAGGGACGGCUAACUACGUG